ACCCUUCGAUGUUCUGGGCCGCACGCGCGCUACACUGAUGCGUUCAGCAAGCUCUCUAACCUUCACCGAUAGGUGUGGGUAAUCUUCUGAAAGCGCAUCGUGUUUGGGCUAGAUGAUUGCAAUUAUUCAUCUUCAACGAGGAAUACCUAGUAAACGCAAGUCAUCAACUUGCAUUGAUUACGUCCCUGCCCUUUGUACACACCGCCCGUCGCUCCUACCGAUUGAACGAUCCGGUGAAAUCUCAGGACUGAGAUUGAUUAACGGUUCGCCGUUACCAGUUUCGGGAAUUUGCUUGAACCUUAUCGUUUAGAGGAAGGAGAAGUCGUAACA
This 330-nucleotide ribosomal RNA is filed under the name uncultured eukaryote. Its description in RNAcentral is "partial 18S ribosomal RNA". It matches the Rfam family "Eukaryotic small subunit ribosomal RNA", at positions 1469 to 1796 of the family's 1831-position model. The record is from RNAcentral.